UGUUAAGUGUCAGUGACCUUACUCAGCAGUCCCCAGACUGGUCAAGGUCCUUGUAAUGAGAAAACCAAAUUACAGGUACGUAAUUUUCACAGUUUUCUGCCAGGAUCUCCAAGCUGGUGACAAAUUGAUAUACUACUGUCUGUGUGAAAGGCUGCUUUCAGAACGCAGGCCACUGGGCUGAAAUACUAUAGCUAAAGGAUUUUGCAAUUUCAAGCCUCUGAGAUAUUUUUAUAAAAAAAAAAAAAAAAAAAAAAAGAAACCUUCACCCAACUCCCUUGUAGAGUGCUAAACUGUAGAACAUAUUUGUUUCAGCGUAGAGAACCUUGCCAAAAUGACAAAAUGUGAGAAAAUAAUCUUCAGGCACCAGGGACCAAGAGAUCACAAAAAAGCAACCAACCUUGAGAGAUGGUGUAUAUCUUGGGAUUCGAAUCUCAAAUGGUGAAUUUGUUAGGCAUUUCUCUCUCUAACUUUUAAAUGUUGACAGUUAGGCAAUAACUCCCUUAAUGUCACGCACGUUUCUGCAAAGUAAUUUUCUAAAAUAAUAAAAGCAGUUACUUUAAUAGUAACAUAACAUUUGCUAGUUUUCCUUUGUCAGGUUCAGCUCUGGACACUUCCUCUGCAGGCAUCCAGUCACCCUUUUCAUUACUGUGCCCAUCUUACAAGUGAAAAGACUCAGGCGCAGAAGGAAAUUGUCUGGCUAUUGUCUGCACAGCCAGUGAAGGCCAGGACCAGUAGUCACAGAGUUUCUCUGUACAUGUGGGGAUUCUGAAUAUUGGAAGCAAACUACGUGUGAUUGCUAUUGAUUUGAUUGGCACAAAGUGUGAGCGUCCCUACAGUGUUGACUGCUGGAGUAAGAUCACUGGAGAUGAAGAUAAGGAGAUGAAGAGAAGCUUAAUUUUUAAAUGGAUGAAUUCCAAUCAGAUUCACCAGUGUUUUGGAAACAUGGGCCAUAUACAUAAAGAUAUAAUCCAGUAUCUGCAAAACUGACACAUACAAGUCCUUCCUUCUAGUGUGUUGCCCGAAUACAAAAUCAUCUAUAAUUCAAGAAACAAAAAGCACUAGAGGGGAGAAUUUUGCCAAACUGGACCAACCUGUUCUAGCAGUUAUGGACAAAGAAGUAUCUGAUGAAGUCUCAAGGUACAAGAGUUGUAGCACGGGUUGCAAGAAGCAUCCUGUGUCUCCCCCUGCUGGUUGGUGCAAUAAGUUAAUGAAACAACCCCAGGACUCCUAAGGAGGCCUAUAAGGCCAUGACUUCAUGCUUUGUGGUGUCUGGUCAUCUGGCCUCUGUGAACUUUGAGUACGCAAGGUUGAUCUAGAGUUCAUAUCAGGAUAUUUUCUCUCAUCCUCAGCCUUCCAAAUCUGUUUAAUUAGCAUUCUGCAUUUCUUAACAAUUCUAACUUCA
Long non-coding RNA from Cavia porcellus (domestic guinea pig), 1402 nucleotides. RefSeq lists it as uncharacterized. The record is from RefSeq and is a predicted model, not a curated record. The transcript is spliced from 3 exons. NCBI's taxonomy places the organism in Eukaryota, Metazoa, Chordata, Mammalia, Rodentia, Caviidae.